This 827-nucleotide ribosomal RNA is filed under the name uncultured bacterium. Its description in RNAcentral is "bacterial SSU rRNA". It matches the Rfam family "Bacterial small subunit ribosomal RNA", at positions 26 to 898 of the family's 1533-position model. The record is from RNAcentral.
AGAACGAACGCUGGCGGCAGGCCUAACACAUGCAAGUCGAGCGAUUGCAGCAAUGCAGGAGCGGCAGACGGGUGCGGAACACGUGGGAACAUACCCUUUGGUUUGGAAUAACUCAGGGAAACUUGAGCUAAUACCGGAUAAGCCCGCAAGGGGAAAGAUUUAUCGCCGAAGGAUUGGCCCGCGUCCGAUUAGCUAGUUGGUGAGGUAAUGGCUCACCAAGGCGACGAUCGGUAGCUGGUCUGAGAGGAUGAUCAGCCACAUUGGGACUGAGACACAGCCCAAACUCCUACGGGAGGCAGCAGUGGGGAAUAUUGGACAAUGGGCGCAAGCCUGAUCCAGCCAUGCCGCGUGAGUGAUGACGGCCUUAGGGUUGUAAAGCUCUUUCACCCACGGCGAUAAUGACGGUAGUGGGAGAAGAAGCCCCGGCUAACUUCGUGCCAGCAGCCGCGGUAAUACGAAGGGGGCUAGCGUUGCUCGGAAUGACUGGGCGUAAAGGGCGCGUAGGCGGCCUACACAGUCAGAUGCGAAAUUCCUGGGCUCAACCUGGGGACUGCAUUUGAUACGUGUAAGCUUGAGUGGAGAAGAGGGUCGUGGAAUUUCCAGUGUAGAGGUGAAAUUCGUAGAUAUUGGAAAGAACACCGGUGGCGAAGGCGGCGACCUGGUCUUUAACUGACGCGGAGGCGCGAAAGCGUGGGGAGCAAACAGGAUUAGAUACCCUGGUAGUCCACGCUGUAAACGAUGGAUGCUAGCCGUUAGGCAGCUUGCUGCUUAGUGGCGCAGCUAACGCUUUAAGCAUCCCGCCUGGGGAGUACGGUCGCAAGAUUAAA